This 878-nucleotide ribosomal RNA is filed under the name uncultured archaeon. RNAcentral describes it as "bacterial SSU rRNA". It matches the Rfam family "Archaeal small subunit ribosomal RNA", at positions 1 to 865 of the family's 1478-position model. The record is from RNAcentral.
UUCCGAUGAUCCUGCCGGACCCCACUGCUAUCGGAUAGACUAGACAUGCUAGUGAGCGCUCCAGCCACACGGGAGCGCAGCGCACAGCUCAGUACACGUGGCUAAUCUGCCUUGGGACCGGAACACCCCCCGGGGAACUGGGGCUAAUUCUCGAUAGGUGAAGAACUCUGGAAUGAGUCUUGCCAAAAAGAUGCUAGAGUUAUGCUCUUUGGCAUCGCCCAAGGAUGAGGCCGCGACCGAUCAGGUUGUUGGUGAGGUAAUGGCUCACCAAGCCUUUUACCGGUGCGGGCCGUGAGAGCGGGAGCCCGGAGAUGGGCACUGAGACAAGGGCCCAGGCCCUACGGGGCGCAGCAGUCGCGAAACCUUUGCAAUACACGAAAGUGUGACAGGGCUAUCCCGAGUGCCAUCCGCUGAGGAAGGCUUUUACCCAGUCUAUAACGCUGGGGGAAUAAGGAGAGGGCAAGUCUGGUGUCAGCCGCCGCGGUAAUACCAGCUCUCCGAGUGGUGUGGAUGUUUAUUGGGCCUAAAGCAUCCGUAGCUGGCUAAGUUAGUCCCUUGUUAAAUCCACCGAAUUAAUCGUUGGAUUGCGGGGGAUACUGCUUGGCUAGGGGACGAGAGAGGCAGACGGUAUUUCCGGGGUAGGGGUGAAAUCCUAUAAUCCCGGGAAGACCACCAGUGGCGAAGGCUGUCUGCUAGAACGCGCCCGACGGUGAGGGAUGAAAGCUGGGGGAGCGAACCGGAUUAGAUACCCGGGUAGUCCCAGCUGUAAACGAUGCAGGCUAGGUGUUUGGACGGCCACGUGCCGUUCUAGUGCCGCAGGGAAGCUGUUAAGCCUGCCGCCUGGGGAGUACGAUCGCAAGAUUGAAACUUAAAGGAAU